RNAcentral lists this ribosomal RNA (462 nucleotides) under uncultured Thiobacillus sp. Its description in RNAcentral is "bacterial SSU rRNA". It matches the Rfam family "Bacterial small subunit ribosomal RNA", at positions 917 to 1381 of the family's 1533-position model. The record is from RNAcentral. Lineage: Bacteria; Pseudomonadati; Pseudomonadota; Betaproteobacteria; Nitrosomonadales; Thiobacillaceae.
GACGGGCCCGCACAAGCAGCGGAGCGUGUGGUUUAAUUCGAUGCUACACGAAGAACCUUACUAGGGUUUGACAUACAAGUAGUAGGGAAAGGAAACUGGACCGACCUUCGGGGAGCUUGUACAGGUGCUGCAUGGCUGUCGUCAGCUCGUGUCGUGAGAUGUUGGGUUAAGUCCCGCAACGAGCGCAACCCUUAUCAUUAGUUGCUACGCAAGGGCACUCUAAUGAGACUGCCGGUGACAAACCGGAGGAAGGUGGGGAUGACGUCAAGUCCUCAUGGCCCUUAUGGGUAGGGCUUCACACGUCAUACAAUGGUCGGUACAGAGGGUUGCCAAGCCGCGAGGUGGAGCCAAUCCCAGAAAGCCGAUCGUAGUCCGGAUUGUUCUCUGCAACUCGAGAGCAUGAAGUCGGAAUCGCUAGUAAUCGCGGAUCAGCAUGUCGCGGUGAAUACGUUCCCGGGUCUU